CCGGAACUGACUGCGAGGUGCCAAAGCGGGAAACUGGCACGUCUCGAGUCCGACACAAGUGUGUGCUUCCUGUUAUACCGCUCGAGACUGCAGGACGGAAAUGUAACACACAAGCUGGUGGAAUUUGUGGUUGACGGUUCGAGGCGUGUUCACGUAUGAACAUUUACAUGAUGAUUUUCAUUUAAAAAGACCAGACGUGGGAAAGCCUGUCUGACUCAUCCCUGAAGACAUCACUUCCGGUUCCAACGCCUAGGAUGAUGUCACUUCUGGUCGUAGCCUCUUUACAACCUGAACUCAGAUCACUUUUGGAAACCAUCAAAGACACUUCUGUCUACUUUUUCAAAACUCAUUGCAGCCAGGGACAAUACACCUUAACACCAGCAAGACCAAGGAGCUGGUGGUGGA
This is a long non-coding RNA of Polypterus senegalus (gray bichir), 405 nucleotides long. RefSeq lists it as uncharacterized. Lineage: Eukaryota; Metazoa; Chordata; Cladistia; Polypteriformes; Polypteridae. The transcript has 3 exons. The record is from RefSeq and is a predicted model, not a curated record.